Molecule: long non-coding RNA, 1384 nt
Filed under: Malus domestica (apple)
Lineage: Eukaryota; Viridiplantae; Streptophyta; Magnoliopsida; Rosales; Rosaceae
Description: long non-coding RNA (MDOM_LNC012487)
Source: RNAcentral
GGUGUGUCAAGAAACAUGUUGAUUCUUUGCUAGAUUAGGCUCCCGUGUCUUCCAAUACGCCUUACUCUUGCCCUGGAAGCCAUAGUUCCACAAGAAUGUUUCAUGUGGUAUUACAUGAAUUGCUAACCAAAAUUUUUUGAAGGCCUUUUACCCAAAAAUAUAGUUUGAUGAUCUUAACUACUCUUUCUUUUGUUAGAUAUUUAGAGAGAUCUAAUAUUCACUCACUCCAAUUACACCGAUAUUGUCCAAAAUUAACCACAUAUUGCUAAGUAUUGAGUUUUAUUAUAAAAAAUCUCGAUGUUAUUAAGUUAGACAUGGGACUUAUAUUCAAGGUGUUCAAAUAACUCUUCGUAUAUCAUCACUUUUAAGGCAAUAAGUAUGCAUGUGAGAGAACAUGAAUAUUUGCUUAAUUAUUUAGGAAGAGAAAUAAACCGAGUUAAAAUACUCCCAAAAUGGAUUGGUAUGGUUUGGUUAUCAUAUUAAUUUGAGGCCUAAACUGAGCCAAACUAAACACUGAUUUUAAUUUGGUUCAGUUGCGAUUCGUUUUACUUCAAACAAAACCUCAAUGUCCUCUAGUGACUUGUUUAGUAAUAAGUUACACAUGGUAUGUAUCUGAAAAUCGUAUUCGCAAAAUUUAAAUAUGAUAUCGUUUAAUCUUUUUAUAUAUGUUAUGAUUAAAAUUUUGUACAAAUGAUAAUGUAGAGAAAUAAAGAAUUUCAAUUAUGAUAAUGUGUAUGACAAAAAGGGGUUCAGAUAAGACAGAUGCAACGAAAAUAUUAUCCUAUCAUAUCAUAGGGCUGGUAUCCGAGCACAGACGUACAAAUAAUAAAGUGGCGGUGCACAAGCGUAUAACAUAGUUUAGGCUUCUAUUAUUUUACCCCCAUUUUGGCUUUUCUAGUUGUGGACUGGACCUCCCUUGUCUAUAUACCAUUAGCUUCAUGAUUAAUCAUAAAUCAUUAUUAUGGUAACCGAUCUAUGACAUCAUUUUUUUUACAUAACUUUUUAUAAAAAAAAUGUGGAGUUUAUUUUGUAAUAUAUUUUAAUGAUCUGAACCGUCUAUCUUUUAGAACUUUUCUAAAAAAUUAUGUAUACCUAAAAUCACUCAAACUAAAAUCAUAUGACUAUUAAUUAAGAGUUCAGUUUCUUUGUACAAGUGUAUUCAUUUUUUUUCUUCAUUACAAAUAAAUGUCUAAGUGGUUUUGGAUUUGUAUAAUUUUUUGCAAGGAAAAUUUAUAAAUGAUGUUUAAAAAAAUAUAAAGUUUGGAUCAUUAAGAUACAUUACUGAAUGAACCUGUUGACCCUAAACACUACCAACGUGGCGCGCAGGCCAAGUAAUCUAUAAGCUAACUACGUCCUUUGGUGAAUGCGGGGCGUGCCAACUCGU